Molecule: long non-coding RNA, 680 nt
Filed under: Pan troglodytes (chimpanzee)
Lineage: Eukaryota; Metazoa; Chordata; Mammalia; Primates; Hominidae
Description: lincRNA
Source: RNAcentral
UUUCACCACUUUGUGUGUCCAAGGACCACCUACUUUUUACAUGUGACAAGAACUACCCACCUCCACUCUUCAGGAUAGAACAUGCUGAAGAAAAGAGUUGCAAUGAGAAAAUAUAUGGGAACAAAAUACCUGUGCAAUGCAGAGGUCUGCAUAACUGAACCACUCAGAGGAAAAAAUGUUAACUACCCAUCUAUGGCAAAUUAAUUAUGCUCAUUGGAUUAUUUUACUUUUAUUCAAAUUUUGUUAUCUGGUACUUAUUAUAUGGAAUAUGCAAAUCGAAGUCCUGUCCUUCAGCAAUCAAUAAGAUUGCCAUUUCAGGACACCUCCUACAUCUGAAGAAAUAUGCAUUGAUCUUGCAGAACUUUUCUCCUCCAAAUAAAAGUCAGUAUGAUAACAACUACACUAUCAGAAGUCUAAGCCAAAGGACACUUCAGUUAUCCAAUCUUGCAACAAAUACAUUUAAGCACUUAAUAUGGGCUACUGUUGGUACUAGGGGCAUUGAGAACUUCAGAUUUGAUUAACACCCAAGAGCUGCUACCAUAAAAUAAACUAGGCAGCUACUAGGCAAUAAGAUGAGGCACAUGUGUAAAACUUCUGCUUUUAGCUUGGUGAAGAGUGGUUACACAGCCAUUAUUACAAAAAUUACAUUUUUCCACAAAUAAAGACAUCACUUUUCUAGA